AGAGUUUGAUCAUGGCUCAGGAUGAACGCUGGCGGCGUGCCUAAUACAUGUAAGUCGAACGGAGUAUGUAGCGAUAUAUACUUAGUGGCGAACGGGUGAGUAACGCGUUGGUGACCUGCCCCGAGGAGGGGGAUAACAGUUCGAAAGGACUGCUAAUACCCCAUGUGGUCAUAAAGGUUAGAGGCUGAAUGACUGAAGGAGCAAUCCGCUUCGGGAGGGGCCUGCGUCCCAUCAGCUAGUUGGUAGGGUAAAGGCCUACCAAGGCAAAGACGGGUAGGGGGCCUGAGAGGGUGACCCCCCACACUGGCACUGAAACACGGGCCAGACACCUACGGGUGGCAGCAGUAGGGAAUAUUGCACAAUGGGCGAAAGCCUGAUGCAGCAACGCCGCGUGCGCGAAGAAGGCCUUCGGGUCGUAAAGCGCUUUUUGGGGAGAUGAGGAAGGACAGUAUCUCCAGAAUAAGGCUCGGCUAACUACGUGCCAGCAGCCGCGGUAAAACGUAGGAGCCAAGCGUUAUCCGAAUUCACUGGGCGUAAAGCGCGUGCAGGCGGCUCGAUAAGUUGGAUGUGAAAGCUCCCGGCUCAACUGGGAGAGGCCGUUCAAUACUGUCGGGCUAGAGGGCGGCAGAGGGAGGUGGAAUUCCCGGUGUAGUGGUGAAAUGCGUAGAUAUCGGGAGGAACACCAGCGGCGAAGGCGGCCUUCUGGGCCGCACCUGACGCUCAGACGCGACAGCUAGGGGAGCGAACGGGAUUAGAAACCCCGGUAGUCCUAGCCGUAAACGAUGUAGACUUGAUGUCGGCGGGGUAAAAGCCGUCGGUGCCGAAGCAAACGCGAUAAGUCUACCGCCUGGGGACUACGGCCGCAGGUUAAAACUCAAAUGAAUUGACGG
This 890-nucleotide ribosomal RNA is filed under the name uncultured bacterium. RNAcentral describes it as "bacterial SSU rRNA". It matches the Rfam family "Bacterial small subunit ribosomal RNA", at positions 8 to 916 of the family's 1533-position model. The record is from RNAcentral.